GUGCCCGUAGCUCAAUGGAUUGAGCACUGGAUUCCGGCUCCAGAGAUUGUGGGUUCGAGUCCCACCGGGCACGCCA
RNAcentral lists this transfer RNA (76 nucleotides) under Kosmotoga sp. RNAcentral's name for it is "tRNA-Arg". It matches the Rfam family "tRNA". From Rfam's summary of the family: Transfer RNA (tRNA) molecules are approximately 80 nucleotides in length. Lineage: Bacteria; Thermotogati; Thermotogota; Thermotogae; Kosmotogales; Kosmotogaceae. RNAcentral also lists the same sequence under 2 other names. The record is from RNAcentral.